GUACUGCUGAAGAAUCCCAGGCUAAGGCGAAACAGUUGUCCAGUAC
Molecule: non-coding RNA, 46 nt
Filed under: Trichobilharzia regenti
Lineage: Eukaryota; Metazoa; Platyhelminthes; Trematoda; Strigeidida; Schistosomatidae
Source: RNAcentral